UCUCAAAGAUUAAGCCAUGCAUGUCUAAGUAUAAGCAAUCUAUACGGUGAAACUGCGAAUGGCUCAUUAAAUCAGUUAUCGUUUAUUUGAUAGUACCUUACUACAUGGNNNNCCGUGGUAAUUCUAGAGCUAAUACAUGCUAAAAACCCCGACUUCGGAAGGGGUGUAUUUAUUAGAUAAAAAACCAGCGCCCUCCGGGGCUCCUUGGUGAUUCAURAUAACUCAACGAAUCGCAUGGCCUUGCGCCGGCGAUGGUUCAUUCAAAUUUCUGCCCUAUCAACUUUCGAUGGUAGGAUAGUGGCCUACCAUGGUAUCAACGGGUAACGGGGAAUUAGGGUUCUAUUCCGGAGAGGGAGCCUGAGAAACGGCUACCACAUCCAAGGAAGGCAGCAGGCGCGCAAAUUACCCAAUCCCGACACGGGGAGGUAGUGACAAUAAAUACUGAUACAGGGCUCUUUCGGGUCUUGUAAUUGGAAUGAGUACAAUUUAAAUCCCUUAACGAGGAACAAUUGGAGGGCAAGUCUGGUGCCAGCAGCCGCGGUAAUUCCAGCUCCAAUAGCGUAUAUUAAAGUUGUUGCAGUUAAAAAGCUCGUAGUUGAACCUUGGGCCUGGCUGGCCGGUCCGCCUCACCGCGUGUACUGGUCCGGCCGGGCCUUUCCUUCUGGGGAGCCGCAUGCCCUUCGCUGGGCGUGCCGGGGAACCAGGACUUUUACUUUGAAAAAAUUAGAGUGUUCAAAGCAGGCCUUUGCUCGAAUACAUUAGCAUGGAAUAAUGGAAUAGGA
Molecule: ribosomal RNA, 782 nt
Filed under: Saxomyces penninicus
Lineage: Eukaryota; Fungi; Ascomycota; Dothideomycetes
Description: SSU rRNA
Rfam family: Eukaryotic small subunit ribosomal RNA
Source: RNAcentral